This 263-nucleotide long non-coding RNA is filed under the name Lathyrus oleraceus (garden pea). RNAcentral describes it as "Pisum sativum (pea) long non-coding RNA (PSAT_LNC006089)". Lineage: Eukaryota; Viridiplantae; Streptophyta; Magnoliopsida; Fabales; Fabaceae. The record is from RNAcentral.
GAAAUAUUUUAGAAUCUCGUGAUCUUUAAUAAUAACAAAUAAUAAAUAUAAAAAACUCCUAAUAAUACUUUAUGAGCUUUUUUUACUUUUUUAAAAUUGUAGUAAUAAAAACAAAAGAUUUUUCUAAUAAAAACAAUAAUUUAAAGAAAUUGUUUCCUUUUUGUUUUUGAUACAAUAAUCGAUACUACUGAUAAAACCAAUUAAUUAACUAUUAUUAUAAUAAUAAUGGAAUACUAAUGAUAAAGAUAUCAAAAAAAUAAAAA